RNAcentral lists this ribosomal RNA (253 nucleotides) under uncultured bacterium. RNAcentral describes it as "partial 16S ribosomal RNA". It matches the Rfam family "Bacterial small subunit ribosomal RNA", at positions 524 to 776 of the family's 1533-position model. The record is from RNAcentral.
UACAGAGGUCUCAAGCGUUGUUCGGAUUCAUUGGGCGUAAAGGGUGCGUAGGUGGCAUGGUAAGUCGGAUGUGAAAUCCCGGGGCUCAACCCCGGAACUGCAUUCGAUACUGCUGCGCUAGAGUACUGGAGAGGAGAUUGGAAUUUACGGUGUAGCAGUGAAAUGCGUAGAUAUCGUAAGGAAGACCAGUGGCGAAGGCGGAUCUCUGGACAGUUACUGACGCUGAUGCACGAAGGCCAGGGGAGCAAACGGG